AACGUACUCACUCAUUUGUAUUAUUCAUUGCUUUCUACAAUCUGUUUUCCUAAUCUAUAAGCAAGUAUGGCAUCCUGCCAGCAGUAUCAGAGCCCACAUCUGCAGGGGCAGAUUAUGACUGGCUUAUGCAAGGCCUAUCCUCAUCUUAAUCUGGGUAUCACUUGUAACAAGGGAAAUCUUGUUCCUUCUGAUUGCAGGGUAACUCUUGUUGCACGUAAUUCCAAUGACCCAACUCAGAAGUGAAUGAUAGUGGAGAAAGAGAGUAGAAACGAUAAUGUUAGAAACCUGUGUGUCCUUGUGAACACAUACACUGUACGGGCCCUUUGUGCUAAGGGUGACGAGGUUGUCCUGACCGAGUAUAAAGUUGAUAAUAUUGAUAAGAGUGUGCUGUGGAGUCUAAGUGAGGACAUGUGAGAUAGGUUUCAGAAACUAAUUAGCGCAGAUGGCAAACUCUGGACUUUUGAGGCGGGUGACCAGGGCAUUAAAAGUAUGUUGCGGACCAGCAACGGCCAGGACAAUCAGCUCGGGAAACUCCUUCCAUCCUACUAAAAAUAUUACCAUAAUAUAUGAUGUAUGGAGAUAUAUAUUUGCUAUUAACUAGCUUAUAUUUAAGGUUA
Long non-coding RNA from Cryptomeria japonica (Japanese cedar), 617 nucleotides. RefSeq lists it as uncharacterized. The transcript has 3 exons. NCBI's taxonomy places the organism in Eukaryota, Viridiplantae, Streptophyta, Pinopsida, Cupressales, Cupressaceae. The record is from RefSeq and is a predicted model, not a curated record.